AGCAUGUGGUUUAAUUCGAAGCAACGCGAAGACCUUACCAGGUCUUGACAUCCCGAUGCUAUUUCUAGAGAUAGAAAGUUACUUCGGUACAUCGGUGACAGGUGGUGCAUGGUUGUCGUCAGCUCGUGUCGUGAGAUGUUGGGUUAAGUCCCGCAACGAGCGCAACCCCUAUUGUUAGUUGCCAUCAUUCAGUUGGGCACUCUAGCGAGACUGCCGGUAAUAAACCGGAGGAAGUGGGGAUGACGUCAAAUCAUCAUGCCCCUUAUGACCUGGGCUACACACGUGCUACAAUGGUUGGUACAACGAGUUGCGAGUCGGUGACGGCGAGCUAAUCUCUUAAAGCCAAUCUCAGUUCGGAUUGUAGGCUGCAACUCGCCUACAUGAAGUCGGAAUCGCUAGUAAUCGCGGAUCAGCACGCCGCGGUGAAUACGUUCCCGGGCCUU
Molecule: ribosomal RNA, 443 nt
Filed under: uncultured Streptococcus sp.
Lineage: Bacteria; Bacillati; Bacillota; Bacilli; Lactobacillales; Streptococcaceae
Description: bacterial SSU rRNA
Rfam family: Bacterial small subunit ribosomal RNA
Source: RNAcentral